ACCCUCAUCCUUAGUUGCCAUCAGGUAAUGCUGGGGACUUUAAGGAAACUGCUAGUGAUAAACUGGAGGAAGGUGGGGAUGAUGUCAAGUCAUCAUGGCCCUUAUGGAGUGGGCUACACACGUGCUACAAUGGUGGCUACAAUGGGCUGCAAAGUCGCGAGGCUAAGCUAAUCUCUUAAAAGCCAUCUCAGUUCGGAUUGUACUCUGCAACUCGAGUACAUGA
Molecule: ribosomal RNA, 223 nt
Filed under: Wolbachia endosymbiont of Hesperoctenes fumerius
Lineage: Bacteria; Pseudomonadati; Pseudomonadota; Alphaproteobacteria; Rickettsiales; Anaplasmataceae
Description: partial 16S ribosomal RNA
Rfam family: Bacterial small subunit ribosomal RNA
Source: RNAcentral